This 257-nucleotide ribosomal RNA is filed under the name uncultured bacterium. RNAcentral describes it as "partial 16S ribosomal RNA". It matches the Rfam family "Bacterial small subunit ribosomal RNA", at positions 524 to 776 of the family's 1533-position model. The record is from RNAcentral.
UACGAAGGGGGCUAGCGUUGUUCGGAAUUACUGGGCGUAAAGGGCGCGUAGGCGGUCGUGACAAGUCACUUGUGAAAUCUCCGGGCUUAACUCGGAACGGUCAAGUGAUACUGUCGGACUAGAGUACAGAAGGGGGCAACUGGAAUUCUCGGUGUAGCGGUGAAAUGCGUAGAUAUCGAGAGGAACACCUGCGGCGAAGGCGGGUUGCUGGGCUGAUACUGACGCUGAGGCGCGGAAAGCCUAGGGGAGCGAACGGG